CUAUCAUGGCAUAAAGUGUUCUUCUUUAUGACACAAACCGGAUGACUUAUUGAGGGACCUCGAUGUCACUCAGAAUCCCUGCAUUCUGAUCUGUAACGACGUUUAAAAAUCCAGUCAUUCAUUCAUUCAUUGAUGGCUUGAUGGCUGGGGGGGAUCAGUGUAGGGCAUGAAGGUCCGUAGGCAGUUACUUAUUGUAUGUUUUAAUUUAUUGCUAACAUAACUUUAUACUGUAAUGCAAACAUCACAUAUGUAUGCCUGUGAUCGGAAAGGUUGUUGGUUCAAAUCCCCUGGUUGCCAGAAUAAUCAUAUCACUGCUGGGCUUAAUCUCAAUUUCUCUACAGACUGUCUGCUCUCUGAUCCUCACUUGUAUGUCACUUUGGACAAAAGCAUUUGCUAAAUAAAUGUAAAUUUAACGGACCCACAGGUGUUCCCAAGCCAGCCCUGAAACGUGUUCCCACCCGUUUCUUGGGUCCACCCUCAUGAGGACUAAAGGAACGUGGAUGAUGGAAAAUGUUUCAUCAUUAUGCACAUUGCCUCUCUGGGUGUUUUCAUGUACUUUUUAAAAUAUGUGUGUUUCUGGUAGGUAGGGAGUGUUUUGUGUGUAUUUUUCUAUGCUUGGGGCUGUUAUCUGUUUGUGUAUGUCCAGUGGCUGGGUGCAGAUAGCGUCUGGCCUCUUGUCCAGGCAGUCAGUGUCCAGGUGUGAGGGCAGAUCCUGCAGAUACUAGGACUCUGACAGGCAUCUCUUGCUGGUUUGUUGGCUCUCCUGCAACCUGACAAGAGGGUAUGCAUGCCCUCUAUAAAACAAUAGCACCAAAUAACUGUUACAACCCAACAUAUGGAGGGUCCCAGGGAUCCUCGAAACUACAGAUGCAAAGCAGGAAAUAACCCAGGAUGAGGCACCGUCAUAGGGCACACACAAUUUGAUGACUUCACAUGGGGACUGUGUCUGGAAACGAGAGAACCGGGAGGAAACCCCAUGAUGUCAACAAGUAAACUCCUCAUGCAUGGAUCCAGGCUGCAGACUUUAACUCCAGUCCUAGAUGUGUGAGGUAACAGUUCUAACCACUGUCUCAUCCCACUGUUGCAACCAUAUUUAGGUAAAUGUGUUGAAGUAUACUGCAUGUGGCAACAUGCUUGGUUUUAGAUACAGGUUAUGGUUUUGUGAUUAAAAAUUAAAUUUCUUUUUUUCAUUGACUGGAUCACAUAAUAUUCCUUUAACAGGAAAGUUUGUCUUUAUCCAGUUCAGAUUACAUUUGCGUCAGUAGUGA
This is a long non-coding RNA of Brienomyrus brachyistius, 1268 nucleotides long. RefSeq lists it as uncharacterized. The record is from RefSeq and is a predicted model, not a curated record. The transcript has 2 exons. Lineage: Eukaryota; Metazoa; Chordata; Actinopteri; Osteoglossiformes; Mormyridae.